Long non-coding RNA from Anolis carolinensis (green anole), 6473 nucleotides. RefSeq lists it as uncharacterized. The transcript is spliced from 2 exons. Lineage: Eukaryota; Metazoa; Chordata; Lepidosauria; Squamata; Anolidae. The record is from RefSeq and is a predicted model, not a curated record.
GAGGCGAAGGCGAGCAGGGGAGGGGCCAAGCCGAGGGGACGCCUCUCGCCCCAGCCUUCGAGGCCGGAGCGCUCUGGGUGGGCGGCAAUGGCGGGAGUUGAGCUCAGCCACAAGCAAGUCACCUGGAACAACAAGUGUUGGCUAUCCCUCCCAAUUUGGUGUCAUCUGCAAACUUGAUGAUCGUGCCUUCUAACCCUUCAUCUAAGUCAAUAAAGAUGUUGAACAGAACCGGGCCCAGGACGGAACCCUGCGGCACUCCACUCGUCACUUCUUUCCAAGAUGAAGACGACACAUUGGUGAGUACCCUUUGGGUUCAUUCGCUUAGCCAAUUACAGAUCCACCUAACCGUAGUUUUGCCUAGCCCACAUUUGACUUCCUUGUUCGCCUGAAGGUCGUGGGGGACCUUGCCGAAGGCCUUACUGAAAUCCAGGUACACUACAUCCACGGCAUUCCCUGCAUCGACCCAGCUUGUAACUCUAUCGAAAAAAGAGAUCAGAUUCGUUUGGCAUUACUUGUUUUUGAUAAAUCCAUGUGGACUAUUAGCAAUGACUGCAUUCGUUUCUGUGUUUGCAGACCACUUCCUUAAUGAUCUUUUCCAGAAUCUUGCCUGGUAUCAAUGUGAGCUGAAUGGACGGUAAACAUUUGGGUCGUCCUUUUUCCCUUCUUGAAGAUAGGGACCACAUUUGCCCUCCUCCAAUCUGCUGGGACCUCUCCCGUUCUCCAAGAACUCUCAAAGAUGAUUGCCAGUGGUUCUGAAAUGACUUCCUCUAGUUCCUUCAAUACUCUUGGAUAUAGUUGAUCUGUCCCUGAGGACUUGAAUUUGUUUUAGGGUGGUCAGGUAUUCCUGGAUGACUUCCUUCCCUAUUUGGAGUUGGAUUUCCCCCAAUCCUUCAUCCACUCCAUGUUGCUGAGGAUGAGGAUGAUAUAAGGACUCAAGGCACCUAACAGCAACUUGCGUGUCAAUAUGGAAAUAAGCAAUUUUUAAAAAUCCACUUUUCCAUGAAGCAUAAACUCAAUGAAAUAUAUUUAAAAUAAUAAUUAAGACUGUACAAUCCCACCCCCCACAACCCACAAACAACAACCACAGCAGCCUGCCCCUCAGUCUUCACUAAAUGCCUGGUGACAGAGGUACAUUUUCAUCUGCCUGGGAAAGGCAAGCAGGGACUGGGUCAUCCUGGUCUCUCUUGGGAGGGAGUUCCAGGAACUGGGAGAAGCCACCAAAAGCCAUUUCCCUUGAUCCCACCCCCCAUGAGUCUGAGAGGGUGAUGGGACAGAGAAGCCACUCAUAGGUAUCUUGGAGGACCAUUUGUUGCACAUGGGGUUAUGGUAGUGUCAGAGAAGAGUUCUACAUGGUGAUCAAGGUUACUACAAGGUAUCCCAGGUAGUAUUCCUUGUUUUGGUGUUUGUAGUGGGAACACCUUCUUCAGGUAAUUGGUUCUUCUCUGUUAAUUUAGAUGUAACUUAGUAUUCCAGUAGGAGUUAAGUCUCUGGCACUACAUUUACAUGUAUAAAAAGAACAAUAACAUACAUAAAAUAGAUAUGCCACAGCACCCCUAUUAUUGCACUAUAUUAACAUUAAAUCAAUACAUAACUAAUACAAAAUGAUCAAAGUAAUGUUCAUAUGACUUACAUUUCAGAAGGCAAUCACUGGCUCUGCUACAGAAUAUUCUAUUGCAAGCAAUUGCUCAUAAUCCUAGUAGACUUUAAAUACAUGUUACAAGUAACAAGUGAAAUGAAGUUUGUCAUUAAGACCCCGAGGAAACAGAGUUUGAAAUUUAAAAAUCCAGAAAGCUUCACUUUGGAGAAGUAGUUUCUUCAUAUCUGAAUGAGGUUUGGUAUGUAAUUUUUCCAAACAUGAGGAGAUUGAUGUCUCCCAUUUGCAAUUUAUAUGGAUACUGGCAUUUAUUCACAAUAGAGACAAGUUGUACCUUUAUAUGGUGUAUAUAAGUAAUAAACCUGUCAUAUGAUAACAUAUUUGAUGUUUCAAAAAUAACAAUAACAUAAUAUUUUGUGUAUCUCAGUUAUAGAUAUCUGUGUUCCAAAAAUACAGAGAAGCCUCUUGCCGGAAGAUCUCUGAGUUUUCACAGGCUCUUACAAAGAGGAGACAGGAGUGAACAUCAUGUGGACACCUCUGCACUUCUGAUGAAAAUAGCAGAGUCUAUGCAGCUCUGUGUUGCAGCAGUCUUAGAGUUGCCCCCACCCUGUCAGGUCAUUUGGGAAUGGUGACUCCUUAGCCUUUUUGGUCAACUUCCUUUUGAUUUGGUGAAGGCAGAGUUGACUUUCUUGGAAGGUGCAUCUACAUGAUAAAAUUCAUGUGAUUUGAUGUCACUUUAAUCCUCAUGUAGAAUCAUGGCAUUGGUAGUUUUAGCCUUUAGCCUUUUCUGCCCAUGAGUGCUAGUGCCUCUCCAAACUACAGCUCCCAAGAUUUCAUAGCAUGGAACCAUGGCAGUUCAAGUGAUGUCAAAUUGCAUUCACUCCACAGUGUACGUUAGGCAUCCGCAAACUGCAGUCCUCCAGCUGUUUGGACCUCCAACUCCCAGAAGCCCUUGCCAGUUUGUUCAAUGGUCAGGAAUUCUGGGAAUUGGAGGACCAAACAGCUAGAGGGCUGCAGUUUGAGGAUGCCUGGUGUAGAUGUAUCAUUGAAGACCACUGAGUUUCAAGGGUUUCUAGAAGCAAUGUUUUCAAGGCUUUAGCCUACAUGCAGAGAGUCAGUGGGGUGUUAUGGUUUGACUGUGAGUCAGGAGUCUAGGUUUGAAUCCUUGCUCAGCCAUGGAAACCCAUCCUUGCUUGCCAUGGAAACCUUUAGAUAAGUUAUACUCUCUGAGAGGGAGGCAAAGACAGACCCCCACUGAACAAAUAUUGUCCUUGGUAGAUUAAUAGGUCUCCGGAAGUCAUAAAUGAAUUGAAGGUAAACAGUAAUCAGCCUAAAUAUCUCAAAAGCACCAGAUCUCAUUUGUCAUGGAAUAUAACCUGGAUCAUCCCUGUUUGUUACUUGAAUGGGAGACUGCCAAAGAAUAAAUGGUGCUCUAGCCUAUCCUUCAGAGGGAGGAACUGGCAAAGCCACCUUCAAGCUUUCUUUACUUGAAGAAAAGCAUGAGGUUGCCAUAGGAUGAAAGGUGACUUGAAGGACUGUGUGUGCAUAUAUGCACAUAGGGGCUGCAGGGAAUAAAAUGCAUAUUGCCUUAGGGGAAGUUUGCUUUUGCAACAUGUGAACCAUACUAAAAUAAGGAGCCAUCCAUCAUCAGUUGAUCUUCAUGUGUACAUUUGAUUAUCCACAUUAUUGACUUUUGCAGAUUUCAUUAAAUGGGUGGAGAUUCCACCUUCUCUGUUAGUCCAGACAUUUAAAAAAAACAAAACAAUCCAAAGUGCUAAACUUGUUUUGAGCUGUAGUUUAGCACCUUUGAUAGCCUCUUUGGACCUUACAUUAAACCCUGAUCUGACACAAAGUGAACUUAUUUGAGGAUAGGAUUCAGCACCUUGGAUAGCUCUUUCAGAGCUCCCAUCAAACUCUGGCAUCACCAGCUGUGGAUGGGAGCAAUGAAAGUGCUCUGCAGCAUGGCCUAAAUGUUUAAAAGUUUCCUAUUCCUACACCAGAGCCAGUGUGAUGUACUGGUUUUUGCUUUGGACUCUAAUACUGAAGAACAGGGUUUGAAUUGCCACUUGGCCAGAAAAACUCACUGGGUGACCCUAGGCAAGUCACAAUUUCUCUGCUUUAGAACUUUCCUGGUAUUGAUACCUAGCAGAGGAGUCCGUAGCUGCUCAAGUUCUCUGUACCUCACAUUUUGAAGAUGGGCAAAGCAUUUGCUUGCCCCAAGUCUUCUGGGAUUUAAUCUGUUCCCCGGGAAGACUGAAAGAUAAUAAAUUAGCAGCCCUGACCAUGGUUUUUGCAGAUCUCAUUCACAGGGCUAUUACAAAUGAAAGUUGUAUUCAGGACAAGAGGCCUUCAUCAGUACUGAAUAAGGAGAAACAAAACCGUUCCCAGUUGGCAAGGAGAUACAACAAGGCUGCACUUUAUUACACUGCCUAUUUAACUUGUACACUGAACAAAAUAUACAUAUAGCUGGAUUAGAUUUAGAAGAAGGAGGCAUAAAAUUGGUGGAACAUUAAUAAUUUAAAUGGUGCAGAUGACACCCUAUUACUAGCAGAAAAUAGCAAAGACUUGGAAUGAUAAUUGAAAAAAACCAGGGAAGAAAAUGUGCAAAGGCAAGUUUACAGGCGAACAUUAAACAAAAAGAAUUAUUGCAGAUGAUUUACAUACAUUUAAAGUUAACUGUAAGGACUUUAAAAUGACCAUACUUUGACUCUGUCAUAAAUCAGAAUGGAAAUUGCAGUAAAACAAAUCAAGAUGACUAAAAAUGGAAGUGCAGCUGUGAAAGAACUAGACAAAAUUUUCAAAUUUAUCAUUGAACACCAAAGCCAGAAUUGUCUAUGCCAAUUUCUAUGUAUAGUAUUGAAAGCUGUACAGUAAGGAAAACUGAUAGGAAGAGAAUCUAUUCAAUUUAAAUGCAUUGCUGGUGGAGAGCUCUGUAAAUACCCUAAAUUCCCCGAAAGACAAAUAAACAGAUCUGAAAACAGUACAAGCCUAAACGCUCCCUAGAAGCAAGAUGACUAAGCUUAGACAGUCAUAUUUUGGUUAUAUCAUCAGAAGACAUGAUUCAUUAAAAAGGCAACAACACUUAGGAAGUGGAAGGAAGAUUUCCUCAAACUAGGAAACCAUGGUACUAAGAAUGAAAGAUCUGGGUAGGGCUGUGAGUGACAGGAAGACUUGGUGAUCUGUCAAUCAUAGGGUUACCAUAAUUUGGAUGAGUUAACAACAACAACAACAACAACAACAACAACAACAACAACAACAACAACGUAAGUAAAGAAUAUGUAUCUUUACUUUAAAAAUGUUUUAAGAUUCAUCUUACAGGAUUUUUUAAAAAAAGUAUUCAAUUAGCAUAACAAAACUGGAAGUGCAAUGCCACUCCGUGACAAGUCCUACUAAAUCAAGUUAUACAGAGACAAGUGUGAAUAGCAAGUUGGCAAUUGUGGUGGGUCUGAGGAAUGGUUUUGUGCAUAUGGGACUCUGCAGGCUGCAUGGACAUCCAAAAAGGAAAAAAUGUAGCGGAAGAUCUGGUUUCAAAAAGCAGAUACUUCUUCAUUACAGGGUUAAACAGUGCACAAAGACCUGUAAUCUGUUUAAUAAGGGAACGACUAUUCCUGGAGUCUUGUAAGAAAUGCAAUUUGUCCUCUUUUUAUUUUUCAGAGAAAGGAAUGGUUUGGGGAGCACAGGUCAAGUCCUGCCAAAAAAGCCUUAAGGUCCACAUUCGGUGCCAGUGCUGUACUGCUCAUAUCAUUAUAUAGCAUUACACUGACAAAAUAUCUGUUUCCUGGGAAGCUAUUCUACUCCCCAAUUAGCAAAAUAAGCAAAUGCUCUUCAUUCUCAGCAGGCAGCUGGAUUAGUUCACAAGACUGUUAUUUUAAUGAACUUUGAGUUCAUUUGUCACAGAAAUCCCGAACAGAGGAUUCUAGGCCUUGACAAUUUCAGGUGGGCAACAAGCACACAAGCAAAACCUCUAAUUCAGAAACUGUAAAGUAGUCUCCAAACAUUUGUUAGGAUGGAUCAGCUGUGAUGCUUGUAAAAUAUUCUGAACCUCGCACUUGUUCAAUGACUAGUUCAAAUCAGAGGUGCAUGCUGCUUAAUUUCUCAUGGGGCAGAGCUCAUGAUUUAGAAUACCAAUGCUAGCUUUUAAUCAAAUUUUCCCUUAGUACAUUAGCCACAAAUCUCUUUUUAAAAAAAAGGGGGGGGGGGAAAGAUUGUAGUGUUGAGAUCUAGCUUCUAAAACACGUUCACAGUUACACAGAAAAUUUUAUUUCAUGCUUCCUCCACCUAAUUCUUCAAGACCACAACAUAUGAUUGUAAAGCUGUUCAGCAGUGGAACUCUCUGCCUCAGACUGUGGUGAAGGCUCUUUCUCUGGAGGCUUUUAGACAGAGGCUGGAUGGCCAUCUGUCAGGGAUACUUUGAAUAUGCUUUUCCUGGCAAGGGGUUGGGCUAAAUGGCCCAUGUGGUUUCUUCCAACUCUGAUUCUAUAUACGCAAACUUAGCCUUUUGGGCCCAUUGUAUACAAGAGUGUAAUAAAAUCAUAUCCCUUAUGAAAAUGACAAAAUCAAGGUUUGCCUUUUGAAUUUUAAAAAUUAUUUUCAAGCCGUGAAUGAUUGAAUGUGUGAAUAUAGAGGAUAGUGGCGGGCUGUGGUGCAGGCUGGAAAGCAAGCCAGCGCAACAAAUCACUCUGACCAAGAGGUCAUGAGUUCGAGGCCAGCCCGUGCAUGCAUCUUGUCUCUGUAUCUGUUAUAUGUUAUGGCAUUUAAUGUUUGCCUUUAUGUGUGCAAUGUGAUCCGCCCUGAGUCCCCUUCGGGGUGAGAAGGGCAGAAUAUAAAUGCUGUAAAUAAAUAAAUAAAUAAAUAAAUAAAUAAAUAAAUAAAUAAAUAA